AAGGAUAUAAGUUGUUUCAAUUCAAUAGACAAACAUCUGCUAACCUUUAAAAUAUUGUCUGCAGAUACUCAGUAUAUGCCAUUUCAUGAUAAGAAAAUCUUGACCCCUUCCUGAGCGUGAAGCCGGCUCUUGGUGUUGCUUUACUGCAACUGCCACUUGCCAUUGAUGAUUGUUCUUGCUCUCUCUUCGGGGGGGAGUGAGGGGGAAGGAACGCAAUCUGAGUGGC
This is a small nucleolar RNA of Heterocephalus glaber (naked mole-rat), 226 nucleotides long. Its record names the gene U3. It matches the Rfam family "Small nucleolar RNA U3". Rfam says of the family: Small nucleolar RNAs (snoRNAs) are involved in the processing and modification of rRNA in the nucleolus. The record is from Ensembl. Lineage: Eukaryota; Metazoa; Chordata; Mammalia; Rodentia; Bathyergidae.